This 61-nucleotide microRNA precursor is filed under the name Pristionchus pacificus. RNAcentral's name for it is "mir-8364 microRNA precursor family". It matches the Rfam family "mir-8364 microRNA precursor family". Lineage: Eukaryota; Metazoa; Nematoda; Chromadorea; Rhabditida; Neodiplogasteridae. The record is from Rfam by way of RNAcentral.
UCUUCAUUUCACAUACUAUCUCGCCUCUCUAACCAGUGAGAGAGUGUGGGAAAUGAAGAGA